ACCUAAACCCUAUUGAAGCGGCAGCUCCCGAUUUUUCAUCGGGACUACAGCGGAAAGAGGGACUAAUU
RNAcentral lists this unclassified non-coding RNA (68 nucleotides) under Pedobacter terrae. Its description in RNAcentral is "Flavo-1 RNA". The record is from RNAcentral. Lineage: Bacteria; Pseudomonadati; Bacteroidota; Sphingobacteriia; Sphingobacteriales; Sphingobacteriaceae.